UUACACAUGCAAGUCGUACGAGAAAGUUUCAGCUUGCUGAAACAAGUAAAGUGGCGCACGGGUGAGUAACGCGUGGGUAAUCUGCCCCUGGGUUCGGGAUAACCCGCCGAAAGGCGAGCUAAUACCGGAUAACAUCUUUGGCACCUCGGUGUUAAAGAUCAAAGGUAGCCUCUACAUGUAAGCUUCUGCCGAGGGAUGAGCCCGCGUACCAUUAGUUUGUUGGUGGGGUAACGGCUCACCAAGACUUUGAUGGUUAGCUGGUCUGAGAGGAUGAUCAGCCACACUGGAACUGAGACACGGUCCAGACUCCUACGGGAGGCAGCAGUGAGGAAUUUUGCGCAAUGGGGGAAACCCUGACGCAGCAACGCCGCGUGAGUGAUGAAGGCCCUUGGGUCGUAAAGCUCUGUCAAGUGGAAAGAAAAUAUGUACUAUAAAUAGUAGUGCGUAUUGACGGUACCGCUAAAGGAAGCACCGGCUAACUCCGUGCCAGCAGCCGCGGUAAUACGGGGGGUGCAAGCGUUAAUCGGAUUUAUUGGGCGUAAAGGGCGCGCAGGCGGCCUGGUAAGUCAGAUGUGAAAGCCCGGGGCUCAACCCCGGAAGUACAUUUGAAACUAUCAGGCUUGAGUAUGGGAGAGGGAAGUGGAAUUCCUGGUGUAGCGGUGAAAUGCGUAGAUAUCAGGAGGAACACCGGUGGCGAAGGCGACUUCCUGGACCAAUACUGACGCUGAGGCGCGAAGGCGUGGGUAGCAAACAGGAUUAGAUACCCUGGUAGUCCACGCAGUAAACGUUGAUCACUAGGUGUAGCGGGUCUUUACCCCCCGCUGUGCCGAAGCUAACGCAUUAAGUGAUCCGCCUGGGGAGUACGAUCGCAAGGUUAAAACUCAAAGGAAUUGACGGGGGCCCCCCCCCAGCCGGGGGAGCAUUG
This 925-nucleotide ribosomal RNA is filed under the name uncultured Desulfobacteraceae bacterium. RNAcentral describes it as "bacterial SSU rRNA". It matches the Rfam family "Bacterial small subunit ribosomal RNA", at positions 49 to 942 of the family's 1533-position model. The record is from RNAcentral. Lineage: Bacteria; Pseudomonadati; Thermodesulfobacteriota; Desulfobacteria; Desulfobacterales; Desulfobacteraceae.